AUGCAUAUUAUGGCCUCAUGGUGCCUUUCGCUGUGAUGAGCAUGUUCUGGGGCUUCGUUGGCUUCUUGGUGCCUUGGUUUAUCCCUAAGGGUCCUUACUGGGAAGUUAUCAUUACCAUAUUGGUGACCUGUCCAGGUUUCUGCUAUCUCUUUUGGCUGAUUUCAAUUCUGGCCCAACUCAACCCUCUCUUUGGACCACAGUUGACAAAUGAAGCCGUCUGGUAUCUGAAGCAUCAUUGGCCUUGA
This 245-nucleotide long non-coding RNA is filed under the name Homo sapiens (human). RNAcentral's name for it is "non-protein coding lnc-CCK-5:1". The record is from RNAcentral. Lineage: Eukaryota; Metazoa; Chordata; Mammalia; Primates; Hominidae.